RNAcentral lists this ribosomal RNA (901 nucleotides) under uncultured bacterium. Its description in RNAcentral is "bacterial SSU rRNA". It matches the Rfam family "Bacterial small subunit ribosomal RNA", at positions 8 to 916 of the family's 1533-position model. The record is from RNAcentral.
AGAGUUUGAUCCUGGCUCAGGACGAACGCUGGCGGCGUGCUUAACACAUGCAAGUCGAACGGAAAGGCCCUGCUUUUGUGGGGUGCUCGAGUGGCGAACGGGUGAGUAACACGUGAGUAACCUGCCCUUGACUUUGGGAUAACUUCAGGAAACUGGGGCUAAUACCGGAUAGGAGCUCCUGCUGCAUGGUGGGGGUUGGAAAGUUUCGGCGGUUGGGGAUGGACUCGCGGCUUAUCAGCUUGUUGGUGGGGUAGUGGCUUACCAAGGCUUUGACGGGUAGCCGGCCUGAGAGGGUGACCGGCCACAUUGGGACUGAGAUACGGCCCAGACUCCUACGGGAGGCAGCAGUGGGGAAUAUUGCACAAUGGGCGGAAGCCUGAUGCAGCAACGCCGCGUGCGGGAUGACGGCCUUCGGGUUGUAAACCGCUUUCGCCUGUGACGAAGCGUGAGUGACGGUAAUGGGUAAAGAAGCACCGGCUAACUACGUGCCAGCAGCCGCGGUGAUACGUAGGGUGCGAGCGUUGUCCGGAUUUAUUGGGCGUAAAGGGCUCGUAGGUGGUUGAUCGCGUCGGAAGUGUAAUCUUGGGGCUUAACCCUGAGCGUGCUUUCGAUACGGGUUGACUUGAGGAAGGUAGGGGAGAAUGGAAUUCCUGGUGGAGCGGUGGAAUGCGCAGAUAUCAGGAGGAACACCAGUGGCGAAGGCGGUUCUCUGGGCCUUUCCUGACGCUGAGGAGCGAAAGCGUGGGGAGCGAACAGGCUUAGAUACCCUGGUAGUCCACGCUGUAAACGGUGGGUACUAAGGUUGUGGGGUCCAUUCCACGGGUUCCGUGCCGUAGCUAACGCUUUAAGUACCCCGCCUGGGGAGUACGGCCGCAAGGCUAAAACUCAAANGAAUUGACGG